RNAcentral lists this ribosomal RNA (484 nucleotides) under uncultured bacterium. RNAcentral's name for it is "partial 16S ribosomal RNA". It matches the Rfam family "Bacterial small subunit ribosomal RNA", at positions 30 to 507 of the family's 1533-position model. The record is from RNAcentral.
AUCGAACGCUGGCGGCAGGCCUAACACAUGCAAGUCGAGCGGAUGAAGGGAUCUUGCUACUGGAUUGAGCGGCGGACGGGUGAGUAAUGCCUAGGAAUCUGCCUGGUAGUGGGGGAUAACGUCCGGAAACGGGCACUAAUACCGCAUACGUCCUGAGGGAGAAAGUGGGGGAUCUUCGGACUUCAGGCUAUCAGAUGAGCCUAGGUCGGAUUGGUUAGUUGGUGGGGUAAAGGCAUACCAAGGCGACGAUCCGUAACUGGUGUGAGAGGAUGAUCAGUCACACUGGAACUGAGACACGGUCCAGACGCCUACGGGAGGCAGCAGUGGGGAAUAUUGGACAGUGGGCGAAAACCUUGUCCAGCCAUGCCGCGUGUGUGAAGGAGGUCUUCGGAUUGUAAAGCACUUUAAGUUGGGGGGAAGGGCAGUAAGUUAAUACCUUGCUGUUUUGACGUUACCAACAGAAGAAGCACCGGCUAACUUCGUG